RNAcentral lists this ribosomal RNA (462 nucleotides) under Triticum aestivum (bread wheat). Its description in RNAcentral is "partial small subunit ribosomal RNA". Lineage: Eukaryota; Viridiplantae; Streptophyta; Magnoliopsida; Poales; Poaceae. The record is from RNAcentral.
AUGUUUAGGCAUGCGCUGAAUGCUGUUGCUUUCAUCAGCGAGGAGAAAAUCGCCGCCAAAGUGGAGCACUUGAAGAAAACGUUCAGGUGGUCGGAUGCUGAGGUGGGCAUUGCUAUUUCUAAGGCUCCAAAUGUGCUGAACAAGACUAAGGAGUUUCUGCAGAGAAGGUCAGAGUUCCUCAUCUCUGAUUUGGGGUUGGAGCCCGCAUACAUUGCUCAUCGCCCCGUAAUGCUCUCGUACAUCCUGGAGGGCCGGCUAAGGCCCCGGAGCUACGUUGUGAAGUUUCUUAAGGCAAAUGGAUUGCUAGAUCCCGACCGGGACUUGUAUUCCGUGCUUGUACUGACUGAGAAGGUAUUCAUGGAGAAGUACAUAUGCCCUCACAAGGAAGCUGCACCAUGCCUCGCUGGAGACUAUGCUGAUGCUUGCAAAGGGCUAAUGCCGACUAAUUUCAGAUUUACAUGA